GACGGAGGAGGCAAGCGUUAUCCGGAAUUAUUGGGCGUAAAGCGUCCGCAGGUGGCGAUUCAAGUCUGCUGUCAAAGGUCGGGGCUUAACCCCGGGAAGGCAGUGGAAACUGAAUAGCUAGAGUGCGGUAGGGGCAGAGGGAAUUCCCGGUGUAGCGGUGAAAUGCGUAGAGAUCGGAAAGAACACCAUUGGCGAACGCGCUCUGCUGGGCGUGCACUGACGCUGAGGGCCGAAGGAUAGUCGGCGGGAAGGG
Molecule: ribosomal RNA, 253 nt
Filed under: uncultured bacterium
Lineage: Bacteria
Description: partial 16S ribosomal RNA
Rfam family: Bacterial small subunit ribosomal RNA
Source: RNAcentral